This is a long non-coding RNA of Cololabis saira (Pacific saury), 425 nucleotides long. RefSeq lists it as uncharacterized. NCBI's taxonomy places the organism in Eukaryota, Metazoa, Chordata, Actinopteri, Beloniformes, Belonidae. The transcript is spliced from 3 exons. The record is from RefSeq and is a predicted model, not a curated record.
CUUGUCAUGCCAGAGUCCUGCAGCCUGCUGCUGCUGCUGUAUCAGCUGCCGUUGCUUUAUGGUCCUUAAAUUGCCCCAGCCUUCUUCAAGCCCAUUUAACAUGCUGACAGCCCCAUUUUCCAUGCAACAGGAGUUGACCAAAAAAUGAGAUGUUCACCUCCACAGCUGCGACAGGCUUAAACCCAUGAUGGCCCAGUUAUGUGAUCUAUGUCAAGGCAGGGAAGAAAAGUUCACCCCCUUCCCCCAUGCGUCAUGCUGCUUCCACAGGGAUAGUGUUUUACAUGCUCAAGCAAAGCAGAGCUGUCAGCAGAGGAGAAGAAGCAGCUUUAUGUGGGAGACAGAAAAAGGGAAGGAGGAAGAAGACGGGAGAUGAAGAGAGAGAGAUAGAGAGACGGAAGUAACUUCACAAGAAUCUGAUCUCAAAU